This 74-nucleotide transfer RNA is filed under the name Ruminococcus flavefaciens. Its description in RNAcentral is "tRNA_Gln_CTG". It matches the Rfam family "tRNA". Rfam says of the family: Transfer RNA (tRNA) molecules are approximately 80 nucleotides in length. Their secondary structure includes four short double-helical elements and three loops (D, anti-codon, and T loops). The record is from RNAcentral. RNAcentral also lists the same sequence under 5 other names. Lineage: Bacteria; Bacillati; Bacillota; Clostridia; Eubacteriales; Oscillospiraceae.
UUCCGCUUCGUCUAAUGGUAGGACAUCUGCUUCUGACGCAGAAGAUGUAAGUUCGAUUCUUUCAGCGGGAACCA